UACGGAGGGUGCGAGCGUUGUUCGGAAUUACUGGGCGUAAAGCGUGCGCAGGCGGCUUCGCAAGUCAGACGUGAAAUCCCCGGGCUUAACCUGGGAAUGGCGUUUGAAACUACGGAGCUUGAGUACAGGAGAGGGUGGGGGAAUUCCAGGUGUAGCGGUGAAAUGCGUAGAUAUCUGGAGGAACACCGGUGGCGAAGGCGCCCACCUGGCCUGCUACUGACGCUGAAGCUCGAAAGCUAGGGGAGCAAACGGG
Molecule: ribosomal RNA, 253 nt
Filed under: uncultured bacterium
Lineage: Bacteria
Description: partial 16S ribosomal RNA
Rfam family: Bacterial small subunit ribosomal RNA
Source: RNAcentral